GUUUACUCGCACAUGGAUACAAAAUUCAUCUACUCUGGCUCUGUCCGCUGGGGAUCCGGCAAUCACACAUAUACAUCACCCUCAGUGAAAGGUCAGGGCCUGUGUGUUGAGAACGGCAGGCCUCCUUCGGGUUCUCAGACUCUGAGGAAAUGAAGUGUGGCAAAAUGUGACUCCGUCUGUUUGUUUUUUCAUAAUGAGAGGUUCCUCGUGGACAUGAUGGGAAUAAGCUCACAUUCAUCCGUAUGAAGACUCUGUGACUCGGAUGCUGCGGGGGAGCCUUAACUAAUGAAAGUGAUACCAUGCAGACAUUUGCAGCAUAGCAUCGCCGCUGAGAAACUGAAAUAAACAACUCUCUCUGAAACCCUGUUAAUAAAAUAUCUGAUCAGUAGCCAUCCCUUUAGAGUUCAGGGAAUUAUUUCAUUUAUUAAAAAUGUUUUUUUUUUUUUAAUUAACUGAGGUAUUAAAACCCAUAGGCUUACAAUGUUUGAGCUUUCAAGCUUAGAAGACCAAGUGUGCUCUCUCUUGCUGAGUGGGACUAUUAGAGAGAGGUGGUGGGACCGGAGUUGUUGAUGGGGGGGAGGCACCCACUGAUGAAGAAAUCAACUCGAGGAGAGAACCCCAUCGACUCAAGCUGCCCCUCUGUCAUCCGACAGAUGGUCCAGUCCAAUCUGCUCAUGAGUACAUGAGUUGGGGGGGGGGGCUUGGUUAGAUGCCUGCUUACAAAUAUGUUUCAUGUGUACAGGGGAAAUCUGGCAUCUCUAAGACAGCCAGGAGACGACUGUACCUGACAGCAGGAUUGCCAUGGCAACAAGGCCAGCGAACCCUCCCUCUGGUGAUCACUUUUAGUUAUGAACUUGUUUAACCAGCUAUUAACGAGGCACAGUUGGUCUCGCUCCAAAAGGUGAUGGCAGACACGGAGAUCAUCAAGGAGACUAUUGAUGAUGAAAGCCUAUAGGAAUCAAACACAGAAUUAGCUAAUCAAAUAACCCACUCCAAUAUUGAUACAUCUCCUUGUCAGCUAUAUAACUAUCACUUCAUGCCAAGCGAACGUUAAAUGUAUGUUUUUUUUUUUUUUUGGUGAGGAGACUGUACAGCUCAAUGUGCCAUCAGCACGGUCUCCCCCCGGGAGCGGGCAGCAUGGUGAAAUGAACAUGCCAGUCACCACGGACCAUAUCUGCGAUGGCAGCGCCGGCUCGCUCCCCCGCUCCCCCGCUCGCUCGAGCCCCAGACGCCAGGCAGGAGGAAGACAGUGGGUGGAAGUCUCCUGGCUGCCGUGCGCAAUGCUGAGCCUGCUUCUCCAGCCCCUUGCUUAAUUACAUUGUGCAGUGUGACGUGAAAGGGUGUCAGAUGCUCAGAGAGGCAGAUCUGUCCUAAUGAAUGAAAACAGAUGGAAGACAGGGGGCGAGAGCGGAGAGGCUGCCAGGAGAUCUGGAGAGGCGUGGAGAUUGAGGAGGGAGGCCGGAGGGAUGGAAAGCACAGAGAGAGAAAGGAAAGAAAGAGAUAGAGAGAGAGAGAGAGAGAGAGAGAGAGAGAGAGAGAGAGAGAGAGAGAGAGAGAGAGAGAUAGAGAGAGAGAGACAGAGACAAGAGAAAGAGGGAGGUGUGUGGCUGAUGAAUGUCCUAACACAAUUAGAAUGUGUGACAAGCUGAAGCCCUCUGCUUAUCCUCUCACUUAGGAAGACCUCACGUGUGUG
Clupea harengus (Atlantic herring) is the source of this 1693-nucleotide long non-coding RNA. Lineage: Eukaryota; Metazoa; Chordata; Actinopteri; Clupeiformes; Clupeidae. The record is from Ensembl.